RNAcentral lists this ribosomal RNA (440 nucleotides) under uncultured bacterium. RNAcentral describes it as "partial 16S ribosomal RNA". It matches the Rfam family "Bacterial small subunit ribosomal RNA", at positions 338 to 795 of the family's 1533-position model. The record is from RNAcentral.
CCUACGGGUGGCAGCAGUAGGGAAUAUUUCUCAAUGGGGGAAACCCUGAAGCAGCAACGCCGCGUGGAGGAUGAAGGUUUUCGGAUUGUAAACUCCUUUUGUUAGAGAAGAUAAUGACGGUAUCUAACGAAUAAGCACCGGCUAACUCCGUGCCAGCAGCCGCGGUAAUACGGAGGGUGCAAGCGUUACUCGGAAUCACUGGGCGUAAAGAGGGCGUAGGCGGGAUAGCAAGUCAGAUGUGAAAUCCGAUGGCUUAACCAGAGAACUGCAUAUGAAACUGUUAUUCUAGAGUAUGGGAGAGGUAGGUGGAAUUCUUGGUGUAGGAGUGAAAUGCGUAGAGAUCGAGAGGAAUACUCAUGGCGAAGGCGAGCUGCUGGAACAAAACUGACGCUGAUGCGCGAAAGCGAGGGGAGCGAAAAGGAUUAGAUACCCCAGUAGUC